GGCUCAGUGGCUUAGUUCUUACACAUUUGGCUUGAGAACAAGGGGUUCCAGGUUCGAAUCCUGGCUAGGGCA
Non-coding RNA from Rhamnusium bicolor, 72 nucleotides. The record is from the annotation of a GenBank genome assembly. NCBI's taxonomy places the organism in Eukaryota, Metazoa, Arthropoda, Insecta, Coleoptera, Cerambycidae.